AUUGAACGCUGGCGGCAGGCUUAACACAUGCAAGUCGAGCGAGCGGCGGACGGGUGAGUACUGUCUGGGAAACUUCCUGAUGUAGGGGGCUAACUACUGGAAACGGUAGCUAAUACCGCAUACCUUCAGAUGAGCCCAGAUGGGAUUAGCUAGUAGGUGGGGUAAUGGCGCACCUAGGCGACGAUCCCUAGCUGGUCUGAGAGGAUGAUCAGCCACACUGGAACAGAGAGACGGUCCAGACUCCUACGCGAGGCAGCAGUGGGGAAUAUUGCACAAUGGGCGCAAGUCUGAUGCAGCGAUGCCGCGGGUGUGAAGGAGGCCUUCGGGUUGUAAAGCACUUUCAGCGAGGAGGCGUUACGAGCAGAAGAAGCACCGGCUAACUCCGUGCCAGCCGCCGCGGUAAUAC
RNAcentral lists this ribosomal RNA (406 nucleotides) under uncultured bacterium. RNAcentral's name for it is "partial 16S ribosomal RNA". It matches the Rfam family "Bacterial small subunit ribosomal RNA", at positions 30 to 526 of the family's 1533-position model. The record is from RNAcentral.